Molecule: long non-coding RNA, 327 nt
Filed under: Physcomitrium patens
Lineage: Eukaryota; Viridiplantae; Streptophyta; Bryopsida; Funariales; Funariaceae
Description: long non-coding RNA (PPAT_LNC008602)
Source: RNAcentral
AAACCUUAUUAUUGAUACAUUGAAACUUUAACUCUUGUGCAUUCCAGGUCAUAAGAUAAAUUAAAAUUCUUUACACCAAUUUUAAUAAAUAUGUUGUAAUGUGUUUAAAAAUAAGUACAAAGACAUGCAAAGUUUUGAAGAGACCAAAAAUAUUCCCAAAAUAUAACAAUUUUUCUUUGCAUAUAUAAUCAUCAUUUGUUAGCUAAGAGAUUGUUUUCUUUGACUUUUCAACAAAUUUAAGACCAUUCAAAUGUUUUUGUUUUUCAUAUUUGUGUUCUGAAGUUAGGCAUUGAUAUUAUUUUGGACUUAGAAAUAUUUCUUGUUCUA